Molecule: small RNA, 100 nt
Filed under: Salmonella enterica
Lineage: Bacteria; Pseudomonadati; Pseudomonadota; Gammaproteobacteria; Enterobacterales; Enterobacteriaceae
Also listed under: 1 other name
Description: partial RtT sRNA
Rfam family: RtT RNA
About the family: This family represents a bacterial cis-regulatory element known as RtT RNA. The exact function of RtT is unknown although it is thought that it may be involved in changing the cellular response in relation to amino acid starvation.
Source: RNAcentral
GUUUGCACUUGUCGGGGAAGGGUGAGAACCUUCGAUUAAGGUUCGACUUGAGCGAAAGCGAGAGAACGUUGCCAACGGCAACGGCCCGUAGGGUGAGGAG